UACGUGGGGGGCAAGCGUUGUUCGGAAUUACUGGGCGUAAAGGGCGCGUAGGCGGCCAUCUAAGUCAGACGUGAAAUCCCUCGGCUCAACCGAGGAACUGCGUCUGAUACUGGAAGGCUUGAAUCCGGGAGAGGGAUGUGGAAUUCCAGGUGUAGCGGUGAAAUGCGUAGAUAUCUGGAGGAACACCGGUGGCGAAGGCGGCAUCCUGGACCGGUAUUGACGCUGAGGCGCGAAAGCUAGGGGAGCAAACGGG
RNAcentral lists this ribosomal RNA (253 nucleotides) under uncultured bacterium. RNAcentral describes it as "partial 16S ribosomal RNA". It matches the Rfam family "Bacterial small subunit ribosomal RNA", at positions 524 to 776 of the family's 1533-position model. The record is from RNAcentral.